RNAcentral lists this ribosomal RNA (254 nucleotides) under uncultured bacterium. RNAcentral's name for it is "partial 16S ribosomal RNA". It matches the Rfam family "Bacterial small subunit ribosomal RNA", at positions 524 to 776 of the family's 1533-position model. The record is from RNAcentral.
GACAGAGGAUGCAAGCGUUAUCCGGAAUGAUUGGGCGUAAAGCGUCUGUAGGUGGCUUUUUAAGUCCGCCGUCAAAUCCCAGGGCUCAACCCUGGACAGGCGGUGGAAACUACCAAGCUGGAGUACGGUAGGGGCAGAGGGAAUUUCCGGUGGAGCGGUGAAAUGCGUAGAGAUCGGAAAGAACACCAAUGGCGAAGGCACUCUACUGGGCCAUUACUGACACUGAGAGACGAAAAGCUAGGGGAGCGAAUGGG